This 61-nucleotide transfer RNA is filed under the name Patescibacteria group bacterium. RNAcentral describes it as "tRNA-OTHER". The record is from RNAcentral.
CGAGGGGUAGCGCACUUGUGGCCAGCACAGGGGGUCGCUGGUUCGAAUCCAGCCCCCUCGA